UACGUAGGGGGCAAGCGUUGUCCGGAAUCAUUGGGCGUAAAGAGCGUGUAGGCGGCCUGGUAAGUCCGCUGUGAAAGUCCAGGGCUCAACCCUGGAAUGCCGGUGGAAACUGUCAGGCUCGAGUCCGGAAGAGGCGAGUGGAAUUCCUGGUGUAGCGGUGAAAUGCGCAGAUAUCAGGAGGAACACCAAUGGCGAAAGCAGCUCGCUGGGACGGUACUGACGCUGAGACGCGAAAGCGUGGGGAGCAAACAGG
RNAcentral lists this ribosomal RNA (253 nucleotides) under uncultured bacterium. RNAcentral describes it as "partial 16S ribosomal RNA". It matches the Rfam family "Bacterial small subunit ribosomal RNA", at positions 524 to 776 of the family's 1533-position model. The record is from RNAcentral.